AGAGUUUGAUCAUGGCUCAGAUUGAACGCUGGCGGCAUGCCUAACACAUGCAAGUCGAACGGUAACAGGCCUUCGGGCGCUGACGAGUGGCGGACGGGUGAGUAAUACGUAGGAAUCUGCCCAGUAGCGGGGGACAACUUAGGGAAACUUAAGCUAAUACCGCAUACGCCCUACGGGGGAAAGCAGGGGAUCUUCGGACCUUGCACUAUUGGAUGAGCCUACGUCGGAUUAGCUUGUUGGUAGGGUAACGGCCUACCAAGGCGACGAUCCGUAGCUGGUCUGAGAGGACGAUCAGCCACACUGGGACUGAGACACGGCCCAGACUCCUACGGGAGGCAGCAGUGGGGAAUAUUGGACAAUGGGGGCAACCCUGAUCCAGCAAUGCCGCGUGUGUGAAGAAGGCCUGCGGGUUGUAAAGCACUUUCGGUAGGGACGAAAAGCUGAGGGCUAAUAUCCUUCAGUCUUGACUUAACCUAAAGAAGAAGCACCGGCUAACUCCGUGCCAGCAGCCGCGGUAAUA
Molecule: ribosomal RNA, 520 nt
Filed under: uncultured bacterium
Lineage: Bacteria
Description: bacterial SSU rRNA
Rfam family: Bacterial small subunit ribosomal RNA
Source: RNAcentral